AACGGCGAGUGAAGCGGCAACAGCUCAAAUUUGAAAUCCGGCCCCCGCGGCCCGAGUUGUAAUUUGCAGAGGACGCUUUGGGCGAGGUGCCUUCCGAGUUCCCUGGAACGGGACGCCGCAGAGGGUGAGAGCCCCGUACGGUCGGCGGCCGAGCCCGCGUAAAGCUCCUUCGACGAGUCGAGUAGUUUGGGAAUGCUGCUCCAAAUGGGAGGUAAACCCCUUCUAAAGCUAAAUACCGGCCAGAGACCGAUAGCGCACAAGUAGAGUGAUCGAAAGAUGAAAAGCACUUUGAAAAGAGAGUUAAAAAGCACGUGAAAUUGUUGAAAGGGAAGCGCUUGUGGCCAGACUUGCGCCCGGCAGCUCAGCCGUCCUUCUGGGCGGUGCACUCUGCCGGGCCCAGGCCAGCAUCAGUUUCCGGUCGGGGAGAAAGGCGGCGGGAACGUGGCUCCUCGGAGUGUUAUAGCCCGCCGCCAUGCCCUUCCGGGGACUGAGGUUCGCGCCCCGCAAGGAUGCUGGCGUAAUGGCCACCAGCGACCCGUCUUGAAACACGGACCAAGGAGUCGUCCUAGUAUGCGAGUGUUCGGGUGCCAAACCCCUACGCGCAAUGAAAGUGAACGGAGGUGAGAGCUUCGGCGCAUCAUCGACCGAUCCUGAUGUUCUCGGAUGGAUUUGAGUAUGAGCAUACUGGGCCGGACCCGAAAGAAGGUGAACUAUGCUUGUAUAGGGUAAAGCCAGAGGAAACUCUGGUGGAGGCUCGCAGCGGUUCUGACGUGCAAAUCGAUCGUCAAAUAUGAGCAUGGGGGCGAAAGACUAAUCGAACCUUCUAGUAGCUGGUUUCCGCCGAAGUUUCCCUCAGGAUAGCAGUGUUGAGCUCAGUUUUAUGAGGUAAAGCGAAUGAUUAGGGACUCGGGGGCGCUUAUUAGCCUUCAUCCAUUCUCAAACUUUAAAUAUGUAAGAAGCCCUUGUUGCUUCGGUGAACGCGGG
Molecule: ribosomal RNA, 984 nt
Filed under: Saagaromyces ratnagiriensis
Lineage: Eukaryota; Fungi; Ascomycota; Sordariomycetes; Microascales; Halosphaeriaceae
Description: eukaryotic LSU rRNA
Rfam family: Eukaryotic large subunit ribosomal RNA
Source: RNAcentral